CCAAUUGUAGUAAACACUGCCUCAAAAAUUAAUUGACUACUUGACAUUGUUCUAAAACAACGAUUUCUAGCUAUCUCCAAACUAAUCCUCGAAAUCAAAAUUUUCGUCAUAUUCAUCUUCAAACCUGUAAGACAUCGCAUCAUUAUGAUGACCGAAUAUAACAUCAUCGUCGCCACAAGUGAUCUUCAUUAUGAAGAUUCUUCAUCAUAAUUGCCCUCUUUAGAUCUUUGCAUUUUAGGUGUGGUGAUGUUUUCGUUCAGUGAAUGGUCAUUUCUUCAAGAAUCGAGUUUCAAAUCGAUGUGUGCCAUACCAGAACCAUGUUCCUGAAAUGAUAAUUAACAAAGUUAUGGGAAACAAUAAAUGCAAAGAAUCCUUUUUCGAGUUACAUGUUUGUUUUACACUUUCCGACCCAAUGAAAAUGAAACCAAAACAAGAGUAUAAAACACUUACCAUAUCAUCAUUUAGAAGUCUCAAAGCAUCAUAAUUGAUUCAUGUCAACAUCACAUGUAAAAUACAAUACAAACAUACUCCAGCUCGCUCGUAGGGAUUGAAAUCGUCAUACAACAAGAAUUUAACAAAUGGCGAAAUACCAUAAUUUCCCUAUUACUCUUAGCCAUUUCUUGAGUUUUACAUCGUACUGUGGCAAACAGAAAGAGAAAAAAGAAUUCCCAUUGAAGCCUAAUUUAUUACCCGCUGUUCCAAUUUCUCGGUGGUUUUAACAGCUUUCCGAGCAGAGGUAGUUUUCUUUGUUUCAGUUUCUGUUUUUCGUUUCUUAACCUGAAAUUUAUCACCAAUUUGGACAGCAGUCAAAUUUAAUCCCACAUUGAAAAGUUUAAAUCUUACAGGGAGGAAAAAGUAUGAAAAAGACUGUUGAAACCGGCAAGUCGCAAUAUCAUAAGCUGUCAAUGUUCACAUCAAUAUCGAUAAAAUGUAAGGGGCCUAUAGAUAUUUCAACAUCAGCUAAGAAAUGGUUAGAAGACUACUAAAAUGCUUAAAACAGUGUUUCUCAUUACAUUUUGUAUAAAAAAUAAUUAUGAGACCUGUCAUCGGUAUACUUAAGUUGCAUGGCAUUGACCAAAAACAUAAACACAGAUAAUGCGAGAUGGAGGGAAGAAAAUAAUAUGGAGUCAUGCACAUUAGUUUCUGGGAGAAUUUUACUCACAUAGUACUGCCAGAUAGCCCCUGUCUGAAGAAAUCUGGUUUCACUUUCUCUUCAAAUAAUUUAGUUAAGACAAUGGUGUUGCGUUUACUGCCUAUUGAACAUAAUUUCAUAAGUUGGAAUUUGCUAAAAAUUAAUUCUUUUAAAAAAUUAGUUUUGGAGACAACACAAAAUUCUUCAAGAUACCUAAGCUUUGGAGGUGAAACUAGACAUUUCAAAAACAAAUUCUCCAAUCAAAUCAAUCUGAUCAAAUUUCUUCUUUAAAUGUUAUAAAUAAAUACGUCCAUAUGCCAAACUCAACCAAGAAAUGGGAUGCAUUAAUUUCUACGGUUUAAAAGAAAUAUUGAUCCCAUAUUGUGACUUAAAGAAGAGAAUAUCAUAAUAUCAUCUUAUAGAGACUAUUUUGCACAAUCGGAACUAAUAUUAUAUUUAUUCACAUAUUACAUUCUUCCAUAAUAAUUCAAGGACAUAAAAGAUCAAUUAUCAUGACGGCAGGACAAAUACGUAUGAUUUAAUAAUUCUAUCGGCUAGCACCUAUGUGAGAGCUAGAAGCCUAGAAUCUAUAGAUUGUAUGUUAAAGUCACAAAAAUACAUAAAGAGAGAGUGAGCAUCCGAAUUAACAUAACACUUCAUCCUAGCCUACUUGUAGAAUAGAAAGAAAAUAAAAUAAUAAACAGACAAAAAGGGGAAGGAAACAGGAAAAAUAUGCCCAUACAGAGGAACAAGGUAAAAGAACACAAACCACACCUUAAUUGAGCUAAAAUUAGAUGAAAUGUAAGAAAACAUUGAGGUGAUGCAAGGCUGGUAGGAUAGUCCAAUAACAUCAAUCAAACCAAUUGUAGACUAGAAAUUCGGCCAAAUUACCCCAAAUGCAAGCAAAUCUUGAAGAGUAUUAGUAAACAAGGCUUUACCCUUACAUGUUCUUUAAUCAUGGCUUCCCAUAACAUCCUUUUCAAAUGCAUCAACUUUUUGUUGUUAAGAUAUCCAACAAUCUGAAGAGCAUAAAAAAUUGCUUAAAUGCUUCCCCAACUCAGGUGUCUAGUGAUAAAUGCUUGAUUCCCUAUCAUACUCUGAAAUAUGCAUCCUUUUCUUUUUCACGAUAUGAAAUUCUAAAUGACUUAUCAGCUGGUGAAAAUGUUAGAUAUUAUCAACGAACGAAAAAAUUUCAUUAACAGAUUUCAGCAAAGUACAGGACUAAAGAAGAAGCAUUAGAAACUUACAGGGUGCAUAGAAGUUUUGAUUAUUCAAACAAAAGAAAAGGUAUUCUAAUGGAAAGCAUGAAAGUAAUUUACCAUCAUAAAAAACACUUGUGAGAACCAUUGCCAGAGUUUAAACGAUAAUGCAUGUGAAACAACAAAGGAUAUGCCUCAGAAUCAUCAACAUCGGAAAGACUUUCUGAGCCAUUAGAUUUAGUUCUACUUCUUUUCUUGUACCUUUGUUUUUACCAGAUUUAGUUCUUUUCUUAUUAACUAAAACUUCUGCAGCUAUCCAUUGUCUUAGCCAAAAAGAUUCUGCAUAAGAAAUUUCAUGAGAACUACAUUAAAGAUUACAGCCAGUGCUCUCAGUUGCAACAUUGCAGGUCAGGUAGCAACUCCACUCUGCAGGAAGUCUCAACUUCCACCAUCUACAAAACAGAUAAUAUAAAUAUGAAAUGUGAGAUUUACAAUAACUAUGAUCUAUUUUAUAUGGCUUCUAGUUGAAUGAAACCUUACAAGGACUUUAUCAGCAUCAUCUUACACUUCGAUAAAAGAAUAAAGUUCCCAUAAACCAACACCCUGCUGGUGAAGGAAUCAGCUCUUGAUAUCAUAUUUGAAAAAAAAAAAAAAAAAAAUAUCCAAAAACCCUCUUUUAUUGAAUAAAAUAAUAAUAAAAAACAGGAGAAAAAUUGAAAACGCCAAUGAGACUGAUCUUCAAGCAAAUAAAUAACUCGGGAAUUUUUGCUAAUCAAUUUGGACAAAAAGGGUAAAUGACUGCCUAUACACUGAAAUAGUAAUAUCACUGCGUAGAAUAAUCAACGCGUAUACAUUCAUCCAAUCUUAGCAAUAUUUAACAAUUUCAUGAGCUGAAAAUUCAUGAAAAUAUACGAGUUGCAAGGGAGUAAAAGGAAAGAAAGAAAUUACGCGUACAGGUAGCUUCAAAGGGUUUUUGGAACUUUGAGUAAUCUCCAUCGAUAGAGAAAUACCGCUGAAGUUUCAAAGUGGAUAUGCGCAGAGUAGUUUAAGUGGAACCCUUGACCUCAGAAUAUUACCGUUAGCAAUUCAAAAAUUAGCACCGACUCAUUCUUACAUAAAAAAAAAUUUUACCGUUAAAAAACCAAUAUUUGCACCUCUCUUUCCCUCCAAAAACACUCUCUACUGAACUCUUUCCGCAUCGAUCAAAAUUUUCUCUCCCUUUUUCAGCCAUGACGAAGUCUAACAACAAUCUGGAGAAGAAAACAAUGGGUCGGCGGAAGAUUGAAAUUCGGAAAAUUGACAAUAAAAACAGUCUUCAGGUUACCUUCUCAAAGAGGCGAAGCGGUCUUUUCAAAAAGGCAGCGGAAACGAGCCUAUUGUGUGGCGCAAAUAUUGCAAUCCUCAUCCAAUCUCCGGGGAACAAAUUUUUCACUUUUGGCGAACCCUCGGUGGAAUCCAUUCUAAACCGG
Molecule: long non-coding RNA, 3800 nt
Filed under: Olea europaea (common olive)
Lineage: Eukaryota; Viridiplantae; Streptophyta; Magnoliopsida; Lamiales; Oleaceae
Description: long non-coding RNA (OEUR_LNC007690)
Source: RNAcentral